Molecule: transfer RNA, 81 nt
Filed under: Frankia palustris
Lineage: Bacteria; Bacillati; Actinomycetota; Actinomycetes; Frankiales; Frankiaceae
Also listed under: 3 other names
Description: Frankia sp. AgB32 tRNA-Leu
Rfam family: tRNA
About the family: Transfer RNA (tRNA) molecules are approximately 80 nucleotides in length. Their secondary structure includes four short double-helical elements and three loops (D, anti-codon, and T loops).
Source: RNAcentral
GCGGGAGUGGCGGAAUGGCAGACGCAGCAGGUUUAGGUCCUGCCGCCCUAGGGCGUGGGGGUUCAAAUCCCCCCUCCCGCA